AUUGAACGCUGGCGGCAUGCCUUACACAUGCAAGUCGAACGGCAGCAUGGAGAGCUUGCUCUCUGAUGGCGAGUGGCGAACGGGUGAGUAAUGCAUCGGAACGUACCGAGUAAUGGGGGAUAACGUAGCGAAAGUUACGCUAAUACCGCAUACGACCUGAGGGGGAAAGCAGGGGAUCGCAAGACCUUGCGUUAUACGAGCGGCCGAUGUCAGAUGAGCUAGUUGGUGAGGUAAAGGCUCACCAAGGCGACGAUCUGUAGCGGGUCUGAGAGGAUGAUCCGCCACACUGGGACUGAGAAACGGCCCAGACUCCUACGGGAGGCAGCAGUGGGGAAUUUUGGACAAUGGGGGCAACCCUGAUCCAGCCAUGCCGCGUGAGUGAAGAAGGCCUUCGGGUUGUAAAGCUCUUUCGGCCGGGAAGAAAUCGCACAGGCUAAUACUCUGUGUGGAUGACGGUACCGGCAUAAGAAGCACCGGCUAACUACGUGCCAGCCGCCGCCGUAA
This 504-nucleotide ribosomal RNA is filed under the name uncultured bacterium. RNAcentral describes it as "partial 16S ribosomal RNA". It matches the Rfam family "Bacterial small subunit ribosomal RNA", at positions 30 to 523 of the family's 1533-position model. The record is from RNAcentral.